AUUGAACGCUGGCGGCAUGCCUUACACAUGCAAGUCGAACGGUAACGGGCCUUCGGGUGCCGACGAGUGGCGAACGGGUGAGUAAUACAUCGGAACGUGCCCGAUCGUGGGGGAUAACGAGGCGAAAGCUUUGCUAAUACCGCAUACGCUCUACGGAUGAGAGCAGGGGACCGCAAGGCCUUGCGCGGACGGAGCGGCCGAUGGCAGAUUAGGUAGUUGGUGGGAUAAAAGCUUACCAAGCCGACGAUCUGUAGCUGGUCUGAGAGGAUGAUCAGCCACACUGGGACUGAGACACGGCCCAGACUCCUACGGGAGGCAGCAGUGGGGAAUUUUGGACAAUGGGCGCAAGCCUGAUCCAGCCAUGCCGCGUGCAGGAUGAAGGCCUUCGGGUUGUAAACUGCUUUUGUACGGAACGAAAAGCCUUCUUUUAAUACAGGAGGGUCAUGACGGUACCGGAAGAAUAAGCACCGGCUAACUACGUG
RNAcentral lists this ribosomal RNA (482 nucleotides) under uncultured bacterium. Its description in RNAcentral is "partial 16S ribosomal RNA". It matches the Rfam family "Bacterial small subunit ribosomal RNA", at positions 30 to 507 of the family's 1533-position model. The record is from RNAcentral.